UCUCUGACUUUCUUCUCUCUCUCAGUCUUUCUAUAGUCUACGCUUCUCUCUUCAGUUUCGUCUCUCUCAAAUUCUUCUCGUCCAAACCAUUCACAAGAACCCAUCUAGAGCGACGAUUACUAAACAAAACCCUAAGCAAGACCCACAAAAGAAGAAACAGAUCCCUAAGCCAUGAACGGUACCUCACCAGCUCUAGCGAGGGAAUUGUUCUCGCCAAACAUUAAAAAUCCAUUGUUUAUUUGCUGUCCUCGUUCCCUCUCUCUCUCGACCGUGCUCUCUUUCCUCUCUCUUCGACUUCGCUCCAUUUUCAGAAAGGACCUCACCAUUAAUUGACCUCGUCGGCGCAGGGAAAGGGGUUUUACACGGCGACGAUCGAAACCCAUUUCAGGUGCUGUAGAGUUGGUUUGAAAUUUCCCCAAAUUUUUUUGAUUUGUGCUUCACUUUUUCACCAAAAUUGCUUGAUGAUGGCAUUUGUGAGGUUUGUUCUUUCCAAGUUGAUUUUUUUCCCCCUCUGUUCUGUUAGAAGAAUUUGAUAAAGUUCGCAUUUUUAUUUAUUUUUCGUGAGGAUUUGUGUUUGUUUGGGGUUUGAUUUUGAUGGGUAUUUAUCGUUUUGGUGAUUGGUCGUUUUGUUUAUGGUUAUUUAAUUUUGCAUGCGUUUCGUACUUUUGGUAUCCUCUGUUUGGUUGCUUAGAAUGUAUUGGGAAAAGAGAAUAAAAUGGAAUCUCAAAUUUCAAUGUUUCGUGUAUGACUUGUGAUUGAUCAUGUUCUUGCAAAAAGAAUUGGAGUUUAUAGGAAUGAUUGGCUUCUGGGAAUACACAUAAACAUUUAGAGUUUGUGUUGGAUCAUUAGCAUAAUUGGCUUAAUAUACUGUUUCUUAUUAGAUUGAGUGAGUUCUUUCCAGUUUCAAUUUGAUUCUUUUUAAUAAUAAUUUCAAUAAAAGCUAACAUAAAAAUUUAAUCGCUCUAUUAUUAUAAAUAUUAAUUUCAAUAAAAAGAAAGAUGGUAAUCAGUAUGCACUGUACCAGACUACACCUAAAUGAUUACAAACUCAUAUUUAGGGAGUCAAUGAAAUCUAUAAAAAAAAAAAAAUGUUAGGAAUGAAUGGUUGACAAUAACAGUCUUCCAUUCAUAAGAAUAUCUCAGCAUAGGCUUUUUGAGAACAUGAAUAGGAUGUUCAACCCCAUCAAAAGUCCUACUAUUACACUAAUGCCACAGUGUCCACAUAUAACAUUACGGGACUGCCUUCCAUAUUUCGCCACCACUAUUGACUAUGGAAAUUUUCUCUCCAACAAGAAAGCAUUCUGGGACACCAUCUUUGGCAUAACCAAGAGUCUCCAAAUGAUGCAAAUAUCUUGGGCCAGAUAUCCUUGCCAUUGAACGACUCAAAAGAUCAGUUUCAAAAUGAUUUUUUCUACUUCUUUUAUUGUUUUUUGUUUCCCUUUACUUUGAUACGUUAUUAUGGGUAGGUUAACUAACAAGUUGCAAUUUUAUUUGCAUCAAUUUCUCCUUUCAUGUCGUUACUUAACAAUUAAAGGAACUAUUUUGUUUUUUUGGUUGCAAAACUUAAGUUUCAGACUAAUAUUUUAAACUACCUUCUUAUCCAUAAUUUUUAUGGGCUUUUAGUAAAAUGUAUUUACCUGCUUAGUGAAAGUCUUUGUUGGUUUUAGGGAGGCCUUACUGCUACAGAUGUUUUUGCGGUUGAGUGGAUUCAGACUGGUGUUAUUCACUUUGGGAUGACAGUCUCAUAUUUUGGUUUUGUUAGUGAUGUUUGAAGAAGAAAUGCUUUGUCGCCAUGCUUUUGAAGUUUCAGACUUGUAAGCGUGUUUAACACUUGAUGCUUGCCUUACAUCAUUGUCAGGCAUUUACCCUAGAAGUGAUUCAUAAGCUUACUUAUUUUGUUAAAAAAAGAAUUGGUGAAUACAUUUUGUGGUUAAUUUCACACUAUGCUUAAUUGGGUGCUAAAGUAGGAAAAGGAAUAAAUUAUUGUUUUAUAAUUAACGUCCUCAACAAUGCAUACUAAAUUAUCCUAAUGUAGUUGACGAUUAAUUUCACAUAUUUUUCCAUUUGGGAGCUGGAGAUAUUUAUAUUUUUCGUUUGAAUUCAAUCAAUGGUACAAAACAAUGCCUAAGCUUAUUUUGUUUUGGUAAUGUGUCAUAUAAGUACAUGUGUUUGUACUAUCAAAACUACAAAUCUAAGUUUAUUUGCAGUCUUUAGAAUGAUCUAUAUGGUUGUAUUUGAGCUAAUUAUGGUGACUAUGACUCUUUUGGUAAAUGAGUGAACAUUAAUCCAUGUAUGAUGUAGUCCACUAUAUCAUAUGGUAGUUAAUAUAUGUGAGCUUUUCAUGAAAUGACAUGUUUCUUCUUCUUCUAUUAGCAUGGUCAUACUGCUUCCAAAUUAUUUUCUAUUUUUAUUAAACAUGUGAACAUGAUUGAAUUGAUCUUUUAGCACAGUUCCAGACCUGCCAUUGCUUGUUAGCCUGUUAAUGCACAUAUAUGCUCCCUUGUUGCACUAAUCAAUUUUAAUUGGUGUCUCCAAGAAGUGAGAUUGAUUCUUAUUCUGUAAUCAUUGUUCGUUCUGCGGUGUUUGAAUUUAAAGCAAUGAUUUGUUGUCAAAAAGAUGCUGAUUUUGAAUCUCUUGUAUACAGGAUAUUUUUGUCAUUUAGAAAGCCUGUAAAUUAGCUAAUGUUGUCUGAUUAGCAGUCCUUUGAUAACAUUGAAUUAUAUUGAUUGCACUUUGAUCCAUUAUUUUAGUUUUUAAUGAUAGAUUGAGUAGUGAAACAGGAAUACAAUUACCAGCUAAAUAUUAAAUGGGACAAGUUACUUUCUGUCAAUGGUUAUGUAUCACAUGCAUGUUACAGUAAUAAUUAUCCACCAAAAAAAAAAAAAAAAAGCAUGGUUCGGUAAUGUCUGAUUAGUUUUUGAGCAUUUGUUGCUCAUGUGUCUGUAUUUCAACUUUGUUGCAGUGUUGGAACUUUUUGAGAAAUAUCAGAAGCGCUUUGGUCCUCUGCAUUAUCUUGUUGCUGGAUUUCUAGUUCUUAUGCUUGCUAAAGUACAACUAUGAAAUGGAAUAUCUUCCGGCAUCAAAAGAGGAUCGAGAGGGAAAGUUCUCAGCUGACCAGGAGGUAGUUGACAUGUCAGAACUUUACACUGACAUUAUGAGGAGAUCAAGCAAAGAGCAUUCCUAGAGCCUCUAGUCUAUCUAGUAUUGACUUAAUAAUGACCCCUAGUCGAAUGUCUGGAGAAGAUUUGGAUACAACCUGCAGUAGUACCCAUGCUAGCACUGAACCAUCUGACCAUGUGCGUGGCCUAGAUCCAAAAGCGAAACGCCUAUCAUCUGGAAGGAGCAAUGUACAGCAGAGCCAGAGGUUAUUCAUCCUCAGCCACCUCUGUCAACAACUCCAAAAGGAAUGACUCAUGGCUACAUGAUCAAAAGGAAUCUAUUUUCAAAGUGGGCAUAUCACAUGAACAAAAGUCUAAUCGAGUAAUGUAAUAAGGAGGGCCUUGAAGUGUUAUAAAAAAAAAAUAAUAAUAAUAAAAAUGAGGGUCUUGAAGUACUA
This is a long non-coding RNA of Quercus lobata, 3555 nucleotides long. RefSeq lists it as uncharacterized. The transcript is spliced from 2 exons. NCBI's taxonomy places the organism in Eukaryota, Viridiplantae, Streptophyta, Magnoliopsida, Fagales, Fagaceae. The record is from RefSeq and is a predicted model, not a curated record.